GGGGGAGAGGUGAUGAUGAAUUUCACCAUGGAUCGAUAAAGCUGAUGGAUAUCUUCGGGUGUCAGCGGCACAGUACAAGAUUGGAAAAUAAUCGUGUGGACAGAGACAAGACAUCCAUUCGACCAAUAGUUGACUUUGGAGAGGCAUGAGAAAAGACAAGAGAUAUGCAGCUGUAGCAUAACUUAUAACAAGUUACUUAUAUAAAGAUGAGAGAGAGAUAGAUAGAGAGAUGACGACAAGUGAAGUAAGGUGCGCGCCGCCCUCAAGUUUAGGUGUGGCAGUGGACGUAAAACCCCAAAUAUACACAAAUAUUGAGUAUGGCGUGACCAAUUGGUAUUCCACCUGCUGCUCACUGUAAUGGGACCACACCAUCACACACCAGAUCAACCCCUCUCUCUCCCCUUUAUUUUCUUUUUCUUUUUCUUUUUCUUUUAUUGGAUUGAGUAAAUUGUUAAAAAGAAUCAUGAUUUUGGUUGAA
This is a long non-coding RNA of Salvia hispanica, 478 nucleotides long. RefSeq lists it as uncharacterized. Lineage: Eukaryota; Viridiplantae; Streptophyta; Magnoliopsida; Lamiales; Lamiaceae. The record is from RefSeq and is a predicted model, not a curated record.